AUACGUAGGUGGCAAGCGUUGUCCGGAAUUAUUGGGCGUAAAGCGCAUGUAGGCGGUAAUUUAAGUCUGUCGUGAAACUGCGGGGCUCAGCCCCGGAUGGCGAUGGAAAAUGGGUUACUUGAGUGCAGGAGAGGAACGGGGAACUCCCAGUGUAGCGGUGAAAUGCGUAGAUAUUGGGAAGAACACCGGUGGCGAAGGCGCCUUUCUGGACUGUGUCUGACGCUGAGAUGCGAAAGCCAGGGUAGCGAACGGGAUUAGAUACCCCGGUAGUCCUGGCCGUAAACGAUGGGUACUAGGUGUGGGAGGUAUCGACCCCUUCCGUGCCGGAGUUAACGCAAUAAGUACCCCGCCUGGGGAGUACGGCCGCAAGGCUUAAACUUAAAGGAAUUGACGGGG
RNAcentral lists this ribosomal RNA (396 nucleotides) under uncultured bacterium. Its description in RNAcentral is "partial 16S ribosomal RNA". It matches the Rfam family "Bacterial small subunit ribosomal RNA", at positions 523 to 918 of the family's 1533-position model. The record is from RNAcentral.